Molecule: long non-coding RNA, 1529 nt
Filed under: Carassius auratus (goldfish)
Lineage: Eukaryota; Metazoa; Chordata; Actinopteri; Cypriniformes; Cyprinidae
Description: lncRNA (ENSCARG00000002960.1)
Source: RNAcentral
GAACGGCUCGUCCUUUGUUUGGACUGAGAUGUGAGAGGACACACUGACUGAGUGUUGAAGGACAAGUCAGGACUCUGCUUUGUUUCCACUGAACCUUACUUUCCUGUUCAUGCAUAUUAUGUGCAAUCUUGUUUGUGUAAUGUAUAUCUGAUGUUCUGUAGUACAUUAUAUGAGUGCAGAGACGAUUAGUCUAUAUGCAAUAAGUUCUCCAUAUUAAAUGAAUCAUAUCCGAUUGAAUGUUCUUAUUCCUUUGUGCUCAUUUUUGGUAAGAAUAGACGUGUUUUCAGAUCACGCGGGACUGUUGUGCCGGAAUGCAUUAGAGUAGAAAGAGAGAAGUGACAUGGCAAAUAUUUCAUUUCCCCAUCAGAUUGGGAACAACAGUUGGACUAAAGACGCUUCCCCUCCGUGGUGACAGCGUUCCACCCCAGAGCCUUCGUCCCAGCUGUCGCCCACAUUUCACCACAGGAGCCCGGCGCAUAACUCAUCAUCAAAAGAUUUUAUUCUUUCCCCCCUUCGUUCUUUUGCAGGAAAUAAUGCUGAUCUCCUGCUCUCCGGAAACUGUUCUGUGAUACUCGGAGUUGGCUUGAAGACGUUUAUUCACAGAGCCUCUGCAAGCCAACACAGUUAAAAAUAUUCUUCAAAAAGGAACCAAAUGCUGAGUUUAGGGGAAAAACAGCAUCUUGACGGCGAAUCUUCAGAUCAUACAUCUUUCCUGACAACACUAGGACACCUUGGGCUUCCCGAAACAAGGAGAACAAAAGGUCUAAGUGAAAUAUUCAGUGUCUUGAUUGUCUCCAGUAAAUGAACAGGCGUGUUCCUCGAGAGAUUUAACCUGUGCAGCAGCCUUUGAAACUUCUGCACGCUCAUUUAUUUUCCUCUUCACACACAACAGAGGUUUGAUUCGCUUUGAUCUUUCUUUUAAUAAGCAGAGACUUCCAGCCCGGCUUACGAGAGGAAGAGCACCUGAGAGCGACGCACACCUGGGAUCAGGGAAGACUGAGGCCCAAUGUUUCUGAGAGACGUCUCCUGUCGAUGCUUGAAGAAUUCCUCGAGUCAGAGCCAAAAGCCCCCGCUGAGCCUCUAACGCCUGAACAUCCGACUCAAAAUCAAACCUACUAUCUAGUUCAUAUUCAACACAGUUCAGCUGUAUAAAUAUUUAUUCAGUAUUACAAAAAGGAUAAAUUUAAACUGGAAGAGUCGGAAAGCAUGUAAAAUGCAGUGGUGUGAGCUUUGACUAACUUAUGUAGCAAAAAGCUAUGUAUGUGUGUAUAUAUAUAUAUGGAUGUAUGUAUGUGUAUAUUUAUAUAUGUGUGUGUGUGUGUGUGUUAAAUGCAAGCAAAUUUAAUUCAUUAUUUAAUUUUUUUUUUAAGUAGUAGCACUUUACAGUAAGGUUUAAUUUCUUAACAUUAGAAUAACAAACUAACAAAAAAUAGUUAUACACCAUUUAUAAAGCUUUUAUUUGAUUUCAUACACAUGCAUAAACAAUAUUUUAUAUUAUAAAACACAUAUGUAUUUAAUUUAAACGUGUA